RNAcentral lists this ribosomal RNA (425 nucleotides) under uncultured bacterium. Its description in RNAcentral is "bacterial SSU rRNA". It matches the Rfam family "Bacterial small subunit ribosomal RNA", at positions 28 to 450 of the family's 1533-position model. The record is from RNAcentral.
GAUGAACGCUGGCGGCGCGCCUAACACAUGCAAGUCGAACGGACGAUGAAGAGCUUGCUUUUCAAAGUUAGUGGCGGACGGGUGAGUAACGCGUGGGUAACCUGCCUCAUACAGGGGAAUAGCAGCUGGAAACGGCUGAUAAAACCGCAUAAGCGCACAGUGCCGCAUGGCACAGUGUGAAAAACUCCGGUGGUAUGAGAUGGACCCGCGUCUGAUUAGCUGGUUGGCGGGGUAACGGCCCACCAAGGCGACGAUCAGUAGCCGGCCUGAGAGGGUGAUCGGCCACAUUGGGACUGAGACACGGCCCAAACUCCUACGGGAGGCAGCAGUGGGGAAUAUUGCACAAUGGGGGAAACCCUGAUGCAGCGACGCCGCGUGAAGGAAGAAGUAUCUCGGUAUGUAAACUUCUAUCAGCAGGGAAGAUA